CUGCGAUGAUGCUCAGCUCCAUCGGCCCUCCGUCUGCGCCUUCGGAUCCACCAGCUCUGUCUCCAUCAGUCGGCCCCCAGAUGUCGGCAGCCACACCAUCUACAUCUUGGCUCCUCCCUCCCUCGACUCCGCCGUGUAUUGUCAGCAUUGGGAUGCUCUGGGUCUGUGCCAUGUGCCAAACUCCAUCUAAGCCGCCAGGGCAUCAUCGUCAUCCUCCCACCACCAUCCCUUCACCACAUCCUCGUCCACCUCCAAAACCCCCUCCAUCCCUCCUUAUUCUGUUGCUUGAACUUUAUCAUCUUCAGUCUUUGCACACACAUCUAUUUACUUCUGCACAGUUAUUUUAACUCAUAAAAAUAAUUUAAUCAAUUUCAACUUUUUUAUAUAAGUUAUAAUAGAUUCAACUUGAUUUUUUAAGUCAGUUUAAUGUUAUUGAAAUUCAAGGAGACCAAUUUAAUUCAAUGAACUUAACAUUUUAAGUUCUAACUUAUUGGCACUAACCGGCCAGAUCUCUGAAUGGAUUAAUGCGCAAGAGUCAAAUUUGUACAUGAAAUUCAAUAUCAGAGUCCUUUCCACCAAGAAAAAACUUAUUCAGCAAAUCUAGACAUUAGACUCAUGUUUAAUACAUAUAGACAUCGCAGUGCAACAUCAAACAAGGAGACACGGGCAGAAUAAACAGCGAACUAACUAAAUCGCGGAGGAAUUUCAGAUGAACAACUCGUGAACUUGAACCUGUCUGUUGGGCUGGCGUGAAGAAGCAGCAAGCAUAUCAACGUGUUGUGGAUGAGCACACGUUUGUCUGCGAGUGAGACUUGAUGAAGGGCACACAUUGUUUGACUGGGAGUCUGAGACUUGAUGAAGGGCUGAGUUCGAUUGGUCUCCGGUCAUGGGCUGGAAGAUGUAGGAGCGAGGAAACGAGGAAGCAUUUGUCGCUGUGAUUGGAGCUGCAGAUCCACCAGCUCAUGGUGAGAUACUUCAUACACUCAAGAAGGGCAUGCAAGCUGGCCUCCUAAUAUGAAGACUACGAUGGUGCACUGCAGGACACCUUUCUCCUUUUAAAUGAUUAAAAAAAAGGACUGUAAUGGACAUGUUUUUUUCCAAGCUUGUCUCUGUGGUUAUUUCCA
Long non-coding RNA from Onychostoma macrolepis, 1124 nucleotides. RefSeq lists it as uncharacterized. The transcript is spliced from 5 exons. Lineage: Eukaryota; Metazoa; Chordata; Actinopteri; Cypriniformes; Cyprinidae. The record is from RefSeq and is a predicted model, not a curated record.